RNAcentral lists this ribosomal RNA (481 nucleotides) under uncultured bacterium. RNAcentral's name for it is "partial 16S ribosomal RNA". It matches the Rfam family "Bacterial small subunit ribosomal RNA", at positions 28 to 523 of the family's 1533-position model. The record is from RNAcentral.
GACGAACGCUGGCGGCGUGCUUAACACAUGCAAGUCGAGCGGAAAGGCCACUUCGGUGGUACUCGAGCGGCGAACGGGUGAGUAACACGUGAGUAAUCUGCCCUUGGCUUUGGGAUAGCCACCGGAAACGGUGAUUAAUACCGGAUACGACCACUUCUCGCAUGGGAUGGUGGUGGAAAGUUUUUUCGGCCAGGGAUGUGCUCGCGGCCUAUCAGCUUGGGGGGGAGGUAAUGGCUCACCAUGGCUUCGACGGGUAGCCGGCCUGAGAGGGUGACCGGUCACACUGGGACUGAGACACGGCCCAGACUCCUACGGGAGGCAGCAGUGGGGAAUAUUGGACAAUGGGCGGAAGCCUGAUCCAGCAACGCCGCGUGAGGGAUGACGGCCUUCGGGUUGUAAACCUCUUUCAGCAGGGACGAAGCGCAAGUGACGGUACCUGCAGAAGAAGCACCGGCCAACUACGUGCCAGCAGCCGCCGUAA